RNAcentral lists this ribosomal RNA (260 nucleotides) under uncultured bacterium. Its description in RNAcentral is "partial 16S ribosomal RNA". It matches the Rfam family "Bacterial small subunit ribosomal RNA", at positions 793 to 1055 of the family's 1533-position model. The record is from RNAcentral.
GUCCACACCGUAAACGAUGAUUACUAGGUGUUGGAGGAUUGACCCCUUCAGUGCCGCAGUUAACACAAUAAGUAAUCCACCUGGGGAGUACGACCGCAAGGUUGAAACUCAAAGGAAUUGACGGGGGCCCGCACAAGCAGUGGAGUAUGUGGUUUAAUUCGACGCAACGCGAAGAACCUUACCAAGUCUUGACAUCCGUUGACCGCUGUAGAAAUACAGUUUUCCUCGGGACAGCGAGACAGGUGGUGCAUGGUUGUCGU